This 413-nucleotide non-coding RNA is filed under the name Pongo abelii (Sumatran orangutan). Lineage: Eukaryota; Metazoa; Chordata; Mammalia; Primates; Hominidae. The record is from RNAcentral.
CCAUUUGUAUGUCGUAUUUUGGGAAAUGUCUGUUCAAGUCCUUUGAUCAUUUUAAAACUCUGGUUGUUUUCUUCCUACUGAGUUGUUUGAGUUUCUUAUCUACACUUUAGAUCAUAACAACCCCUUCUCAGAUACAUGGUUUGCAAAUGUAUUCUCUCACUCUAUGGAGUCUCACUCUGUAGCCCAAGCUGGAGUGGCGUGAUCUCGACUCACUGCAACCUCCGCCUCCUGGGCUCAAGUGAUUCUCGUGCCUCAGCCUCCUGAGUAGCUGGGACUACAGUUGUCCCUUCACGUGGGAUUGCUUCCAGUACCUCUGUGUAUAACAAAAGCUGCACCAUUCAAGUCCCACAGUUGCUCUGCGAAACCUCUGUAUAUGAAAAGUUGGCCCUCCAUGUACAUGGGUUUCCCAUCCU